This 389-nucleotide ribosomal RNA is filed under the name uncultured bacterium. Its description in RNAcentral is "bacterial SSU rRNA". It matches the Rfam family "Bacterial small subunit ribosomal RNA", at positions 29 to 409 of the family's 1533-position model. The record is from RNAcentral.
AAUGAACGCUGGCGGCGCGCCUAAUACAUGCAAGUCGAGCGAGAAGACGUAGCAAUACGUUUGUAAAGCGGCGAACGGGUGAGGAAUACAUGGGUAACCUACCCUAGAGUGGGGGAUAACUAGCCGAAAGGUUAGCUAAUACCGCGUACGCUCCUUGGACUUCGGUUCAGGGAGGAAAGCGAUGCCGAGGGUAUCGCGCUCUUGGAUGGGCUCAUGUCCUAUCAGCUUGNGGUGAGGUAACGGCUCACCAAGGCUUCGACGGGUAGCUGGUCUGAGAGGACGAUCAGCCACACUGGCACUGCGACACGGGCCAGACUCCUACGGGAGGCAGCAGUAAGGAAUAUUGCGCAAUGGGCGAAAGCCUGACGCAGCGACGCCGCGUGGGGGAU